Molecule: ribosomal RNA, 253 nt
Filed under: uncultured bacterium
Lineage: Bacteria
Description: partial 16S ribosomal RNA
Rfam family: Bacterial small subunit ribosomal RNA
Source: RNAcentral
UACGAACUGUGCGAACGUUAUUCGGAAUCACUGGGCUUAAAGGGUGCGUAGGCGGUUUCUUAAGUCAGGUGUGAAAUCUUCCGGCUCAACCGGAAAACUGCGCUUGAUACUGGGGAACUUGAGUGAGGUAGGGGUGUGUGGAACUUCCGGUGGAGCGGUGAAAUGUGUAGAUAUCGGAAGGAACGCCAGCAGCGAAAGCGGCACACUGGGCCUUUUCUGACGCUGAGGCACGAAAGCCAGGGGAGCGAACGGG